Molecule: long non-coding RNA, 1550 nt
Organism: Rhea pennata
Lineage: Eukaryota; Metazoa; Chordata; Aves; Rheiformes; Rheidae
Exons: 5
Source: RefSeq, a predicted model, not a curated record
CACUAGUGCUGAAAAACAGAACUACUGCAAUCAAAAUGGUCCUGACUUCAACUUCAAAAAUUUGUGCAGGAUCUUGGUCUAUCCCAAGUUCUUCCACCUCCACAGCUGGCACCUACCACACUGAGCUGCUGCAGAGUUAGAGAAAAAUAAGAAGGAGUCUUCGAGCCAGCUGCCUCUUAUCAGCUCAGCCAAAGAAAGGCUGAAUGCCAGGAAAACAAGAAACAGCAGAUUAAAGCUCGACAGAAACCCUCUCUUAAGAGGCCAUCCUUGUCUAAGGUGGGAGAAAGAAGUUGCCAAACUGGGGGGACCUGUGGUGAAAACCAGUUGCUGAAAUGUGCCCAUGCAAUAAAUCUUUAAAGAAGUCACAACAUUAAUGGUGCUAUCUAAUUUUGUUUAUUUUAAAAUGCUGUCUAGGAAUACUAAAAUAAGCAAUGAAAAUACGAAAUCACUGAAGUUCCUCAUGAAAAAUGAAGAUGGAAUGAAAGAAAAUCUCCGUAAGAAAAGCUAAGGAAAAACAAAACCAGACACCAAUCUCAAAGUUUAUGCAAUCAAAUAACGUCCUUGGCAAAAUGAUGGGAUGAAUAUAUGAAGGUUCAGAAGCAAUGGACCUGUUUCUUCUCUUUCUAUGCACAUAUGUCUUCCACCUGAGCAAUCACAGCCAAAACUGGAAGUACUUUCAGUGCCUUGUAGCAUGGAAGCACACUGGUAUCCUAAUCCCAUGAAUCACCCCAUAACCUUGGUGUCACCAAGACGCCAACUCUGUCUUCUCCCUGACAUACCAGGUUUCCUGGUUCUGGGCCUGAGUAUCCAAAAGACCACCUUGUCUGGAGUCCCUGGUUGCCAGUGUGUAUCACAGAUGCUGCUACAUUGGUCUGACUAAUUAAAUACACAUUUUUUUUUCAAGAAAAAUACAUGGAACAGUAGUGCCAAAUUAAUCCUGACAUGAACAUUGAAGUGGAUGUUACUUCAAGAAAAUCAGAAGAAUGGCAGAUAACAAAACUUCUCUUCUGUUUUCAUUAACUGGCCUACUGAUUUUUCUUUUUAGGCUUUUUAUAUAAAGAUACUAAUUUAAAUAGACAUUUGCUACCUUUUUAAGCUUAGUUUACUGACAGAAUGGCGACACAAAUAUUUCUGAUUUAGGAGUAUGGAAAGCUUUAAAUUUGUUCUGGGCACCGACCAAAUAGUUGUCUUUAUAAAAUAGUGAAGGUAGUGCUUCUGAUGUCAUUUAAAAGUGACUUGUGAGAGCUCUGCAUGGAAGGAAAAAAAAUAUACAUAUAUAAAGCUCUGACUGUCUUUUGUUUGAAUUUUUCUUUACAGAGUUCUUUUACCUGCCUGCCUAGAGAGUAAACUCAGAGAAAUGGAAAAUGUGGAAAGUGCCAAAGGGAAAAAAAUGUGGUAAAGGUUCAAAUAUUAAUCUAGAUCUAGGAAGCUUUAAAUUUUAUUUGCAUAUUUUGUUUAUAGAAAUCAAACUAAAAUAACUGACAUGAGAUAUUUUCAUUAUCAAAAAAACCCUCUUAUAAAUUCCAGCAUAUCUUUUCAGGAAUAAGACU